Long non-coding RNA from Salvia miltiorrhiza (redroot sage), 793 nucleotides. RefSeq lists it as uncharacterized. The record is from RefSeq and is a predicted model, not a curated record. The transcript has 3 exons. NCBI's taxonomy places the organism in Eukaryota, Viridiplantae, Streptophyta, Magnoliopsida, Lamiales, Lamiaceae.
UUCACUCACUCGCUCACUCACUCCAUCCUUUUUUAGGCCAAUCCUCAUUUAACUUUUCAAAAGAGAAAAAGAAAAACUACAUUUAUACGGCAUUUCAUUCAACGUUGGAAAGAAUGAUUUCAUUGAAGAAUCCAAUACACAAUAUUUUAGGUCUUUUCAUUUGAAAUUGGUAUUUGAUGUGUGUUUUAUUCAUCAAUUGAAAUCAUUCUUUUCCGCGUUGAAUGAGAUAAUGGAGAAAAUUUAUUUUUCUCCAUUUUUCGCUAGAAUUAUAGUUGGCCUUGAUUGGAUAGGAUGCAAUGUGUGUGUGCGAGUGCGUGCACGCGAGUAUGUGAUAUAACUAUAAUCUUUAGACGUUAAAAUCUAUAUAAUAUAAAGGAGAUGAAGGAGAAAAUGUGGCGAAAAGGAAAAGAGCCGUCACCUUUAGCAAUUACUCAACAUGUAAGAAGGCAGCUCUUAAAGUAAUACAAACCCAUACACCCGAGGAAGCUUCGAGAAUAUUCUUGGGGAAAAUGGAGGUUUCUUCUUCUACAAUAACAAAGAAGCAAGUAGAAUCUUUCAACAAGACGUGAUAAUAUUUGAGGAUCAAAGGAUUUGCUCCCUUUAAUUACUUUAUAAUAGUUUGUUGCUCUUAAUAAUUCUUGUAUUAUGUUCUAGUUAGUUUUUAUAAAAUAUAGUACUUCAAACAUGCUUGUGUUUUGGUAGCGUAUCAAAAAUUAGGUCACAUCAUAUUCAAUCGUUUGUCAGAAAUUAUUGAGCAUGUCUAUCUUGUGUGGACGAAGGGAAUAAUAAAGAG